This 253-nucleotide ribosomal RNA is filed under the name uncultured bacterium. RNAcentral describes it as "partial 16S ribosomal RNA". It matches the Rfam family "Bacterial small subunit ribosomal RNA", at positions 524 to 776 of the family's 1533-position model. The record is from RNAcentral.
UACGGAGGAUCCAAGCGUUAUCCGGAAUCAUUGGGUUUAAAGGGUCCGUAGGCGGGCCUGUAAGUCAGUGGUGAAAUCUCCCCGCUCAACGGGGAAACGGCCAUUGAUACUGCAGGCCUUGAAUUAUUAGGAAGUAACUAGAAUAUGUAGUGUAGCGGUGAAAUGCUUAGAUAUUACAUGGAAUACCGAUUGCGAAGGCAGGUUACUACUAAUGGAUUGACGCUGAUGGACGAAAGCGUGGGUAGCGAACAGG